Molecule: non-coding RNA, 31 nt
Filed under: Mus musculus (house mouse)
Lineage: Eukaryota; Metazoa; Chordata; Mammalia; Rodentia; Muridae
Source: RNAcentral
UGGGAUGUGAUUAAACCUUUUUGUAGAACUC